RNAcentral lists this ribosomal RNA (253 nucleotides) under uncultured bacterium. RNAcentral's name for it is "partial 16S ribosomal RNA". It matches the Rfam family "Bacterial small subunit ribosomal RNA", at positions 524 to 776 of the family's 1533-position model. The record is from RNAcentral.
UACAGAGGAUGCAAGCGUUAUCCGGAAUGAUUGGGCGUAAAGCGUCUGUAGGUGGCUUUUUAAGUCCGCCGUCAAAUCCCAGGGCUCAACUCUGGACAGGCGGUGGAAACUACCAAGCUGGAGUACGGUAGGGGCAGAGGGAAUUUCCGGUGGAGCGGUGAAAUGCGUAGAGAUCGGGAGGAACAUCCGUGGCGAAGGCGACUACCUGGACCAGCACUGACACUGAGGCACGAAAGCGUGGGGAGCAAACAGG